Molecule: ribosomal RNA, 467 nt
Filed under: uncultured bacterium
Lineage: Bacteria
Description: partial 16S ribosomal RNA
Rfam family: Bacterial small subunit ribosomal RNA
Source: RNAcentral
GACGAACGCUGGCGGCGUGCUUAACACAUGCAAGUCGAACGGAAAGGCCCUGCUUUUGUGGGGUGCUCGAGUGGCGAACGGGUGAGUAACACGUGAGUAACCUGCCCUUGACUUUGGGAUAACUUCAGGAAACUGGGGCUAAUACCGGAUAGGAGCUCCUGCUGCAUGGUGGGGGUUGGAAAGUUUCGGCGGUUGGGGAUGGACUCGCGGCUUAUCAGCUUGUUGGUGGGGUAGUGGCUUACCAAGGCUUUGACGGGUAGCCGGCCUGAGAGGGUGACCGGCCACAUUGGGACUGAGAUACGGCCCAGACGCCUACGGGAGGCAGCAGUGGGGAAUAUGGCACAAUGGGCGGAAGCCUGAUGCAGCAACGCCGCGUGCGGGAUGACGGCCUUCGGGUUGUAAACCGCUUUCGCCUGUGACGAAGCGUGAGUGACGGUAAUGGGUAAAGAAGCACCGGCUAACUACGU